UGGAUUGGGAAUUUGAUUAUCAUGGGGAAUUUGAUAUAGAUUGGGAAUUUGAUAUGGAUCAGGAAUUUGAUAAGAAUUGGCAAUUUGAUCUGGAUUGGGAAUUUGAUUUUCAUGGGGAAUUUCAUAAGGAUGAGGAAUUUUAUAAGGACAAGGAAUUUGAUAUGGAUCAGAAUUUGAUAUGGAUUGGGAAUUCGAUAAGGAUUGGGAAUUUGAUAUGGAUCAGAAUUUGAUCUGGAUCAGAAUUUGAUAAGGAUCGGGAAUUUGAGGCUGGAAUUCCAUAGAACAGAGAUGGGUGGGGGAGUUGGAGAAAAUCCUGGAAUUUUUGUCCCAGAUGUGUUGCUCUCCCUGGAACCCUGAGCCAGAGGGAAUUUGAUGUGGAUAGGGAAUUUGAUCUGGAUUGGGAAUUUGAUCUGGAUUCGGAAUUUGAUGUGGAUCAGGAAUUUGAUGUGGAUCGGGAAUGUGAUGUGGAUCAGGAAUUUGAUGUUGAUCGGAAAUCUGGGGCUGGAAUUCCAUCAAUCAGAGCUGGCUGGAGGAGCUGGGGGAGCUCCCUGGGGGAGCCGAGUUUGUGCCCCACAUUCAACACCCCGAGCCAGCUGAUCCCAGCGGGAAUUCCCGCCCGGAAUUCCGUGUCCUCUCCCAAUCCCGGUUUUUCCCACCACUCCAGGACGUGCUGCGCGUUCCGGAGCGGAGACUCCUGGAGGACAGCAGGAACCUUCCCAUCGCUUCCGGCAGCUCCCGCUCCGAGCGUCUCCUGCUCUUCGACGACGUCCUGGUGCUGAUCCAGGGAAACAGCUUCCAGAGUUUUGAUCUGAAGUUGGUGUGGGUGGAUGAAAACUGCGGAGAGAAAUUGGCUCCGGGAUCGCACGGCCUGCGCGUCACCACCCCGGAGGAGACGUUCGUCCUCUCCACCAAGGACCCCCAAACCAAGGCCGUGUGGCGCUGGAAGCUGGAGCAGGCCGUGCGCCAGGCGCUCAACGGGAAGCGCGAUUUCCCGCUCUGGGGCGGCAGCGGCGACGGAGCCGAGGCUCCUUCCCGAAGAUUCUUCAGCUACGGAUUCCGCAGGGACAGCCGGCUCCGAGGGGCCACCUACGAGGGCGAGUGGCUGGAGGGGAAACCCCACGGCAAGGGGACGCUGAAGUGGAGCGACGGCCGCAACCACGUGGGCGAUUUCCGGGAGGGCCGGGAGCACGGGUGAGCCUGGGAAAACGGGAGCUUUUCCAUGCUGGAAUUUCUCAAGCUGGGCUUUUCCAUCCUGAUGUUUUCCAUGCUGGAAUUUGUGCUUGGAUUCGCCAUGCCGGAAUUUUCCACGUUGGAAUUUUCCAUGCUGGAAUUUUCCCUUCUGACCUUUUCCAUCCUGACCUUUCCCAUGCCGGAAUUUUCCAUCCUGGAAUUUUCCCAUGCUGGAAUUUUUCCCUGCUGGAAUUUUCCCUGCUGGAAUUUUCCAUGCUGGAAUCUUCCAUACUGGAAUUUUCCCUACAGGAAUUUUCCCUGCUGGAAUUUUCCAUCCUGAUGUUUUCCAUGCUGGAAUUUCUACUUGGCUUUUCCAUGCUGGAAUUUUUCCAUCCUGACAUUUUCCCCGCUGGAAUUUUCCCUGCUGGAAUUUUCCCUGCUGGAAUUUUUCCCGCUGGAAUUUUCUCUUCUGGAAUUUUCCCUGCUGGAAUUUUCCACACUGGAAUUUUCCCUGCUGGA
RNAcentral lists this long non-coding RNA (1689 nucleotides) under Cyanistes caeruleus (blue tit). Its description in RNAcentral is "lncRNA (ENSCCEG00000008236.1)". The record is from RNAcentral. Lineage: Eukaryota; Metazoa; Chordata; Aves; Passeriformes; Paridae.